AUGGGAAUUCAGUCUUUGGUGCUGGUGAAGGUGUUGUGUGGCUGAACAAAGUCGAGUGCAGAGGGAAUGAGAUUCACCUGUGGGACUGUCCUCUCUCCCUGAAAAACCACACUGACUGCUCCCACAAUGAGCACGCUGGACUCACCUGUGCAGAUUUUACAGAUGUUCCAGUGUCCUCUACUCCUGCCACAACAACAUCAGCUUCUCCUCCAGUGCGCUCAACAUCAGUCUCUCCUCCACAAAUUCCUCCAGCAGCGACUCUCUCCGUCCCCCCAGUGCUUGUGAUUGUACUGGGAGUUGUGCCCUUACUGUUCUUAGUGCCACUGCUUAUACUGAUUCAGCAGAACAGAGUGAUGAGGAGAGCUCUCUCUAAGAGGAGACACAGGACGAUGACUGAGGCCGUUUAUGAGGAGAUUCAGCACAGACACAAUCACUUCACUCAGAGGGGUGAGUAGCUGUCAUAGUGUCUGAUGUGUUGAGAUCAACAGGGUAUUACUUUAUUCAGAGUGUUGAGUGGAGUAAAUCACAUUGAUUAAUUUGUGCCCUUACCAGUUAACCACGUUUUAUAAUAGUGUAGUAAAGAAAGCAUGGUCCCUUUAAGCCUAUUCACGCUGUUCAUUCUGUUCCCAUUCCUAUUGGCUGUUAGUUACAUCAAUCAGAGGGUAUGUGCUGAGUUACGUGUGUAUGGAGAUUUUUUUUUAGCAGUAGUAGAGGUUGCUCACAUGCUCAUUGCAUGGUCGGAAAAGCUGCUGUUCUGUGCCGGAGCAAGAGCACCAAUCAGCGGGAACAGUGAAAUGCAAACUGUGUGUUUAUACCACUUGUACUGUUGGUGAGUGAACUGUGCAACUAACGUGUUCAAGAAGUUAAGUAAACGCUAUGGAAAAGAUCCUUUUGUCAUGGCUCAUUCCUCCCACUCAUCCACAUAGGCAAACACAUAAACGAAACUAACUGCACGCACGACAACUGGUGUCAGAAGUAGGAUUUCAUCUGGAAAGUAUGAAAUGAGAGAAAAGUUGGACACUGGCGAAACAGCACAUACGGCGGAAGCGGAUUAGAAGUACGAUAAUUUUAUAGCGCUCUUUUCAGGGUGAGACACAAGCAGGCUGACGUCAUCGCACCCAAUGAGAACUGUGUUGACUCAAGUACAGAGUGAAUUGCCAGAGAAAAGAGAUUUGAAUGCUCCAAGAGAACAUCUGUAAAGUUUGAAAUGAAAAAGAAAAAAAAAAGAAAGAAAAUAUAAAAGAGAAAAUAAGACAUGUCUCAGGAAGAUUUGUGUCAUGGAGCUAUGGCAGCAGCCCCUGAUUCCAACCAACCCCCAGACUGGCUUUAAGACAAUGCUCGAAAACCAAAAUAUAAAUAAUGAGCAACUGCAAAUGAUGAUGGCUCCACUAUUGACUCAUAUCACAAGUUGUUCUCCAGCCCCACAAACAUCAAUGUUCACUGCACCCAGAGGUUACACACGCAAGAGCUCCCAGCCAACUGUCAGGGAAAGGAGGAUGCCUUAUUCAGAUUCAACCCUCCUUCAAGAUUAUACUGAAAGGUCACGCAACAUCACAGGUGGGCCAUUCGCUGCAAAGCUAGAAGUAAUAAAACAAAGCUAACCCCUCCACCGAGACUGGCACAAUGCAACAAAACACUGAGCUUGGC
Long non-coding RNA from Cyprinus carpio (common carp), 1647 nucleotides. RefSeq lists it as uncharacterized. The transcript has 3 exons. NCBI's taxonomy places the organism in Eukaryota, Metazoa, Chordata, Actinopteri, Cypriniformes, Cyprinidae. The record is from RefSeq and is a predicted model, not a curated record.